This 502-nucleotide ribosomal RNA is filed under the name uncultured bacterium. RNAcentral describes it as "partial 16S ribosomal RNA". It matches the Rfam family "Bacterial small subunit ribosomal RNA", at positions 29 to 523 of the family's 1533-position model. The record is from RNAcentral.
AUUGAACGCUGGCGGAAUGCUUUACACAUGCAAGUCGAACGGCAGCACGGGUGCUUGCACCUGGUGGCGAGUGGCGAACGGGUGAGUAAUACAUCGGAACGUACCCAGUCGUGGGGGAUAACGUAGCGAAAGUUACGCUAAUACCGCAUACGUCCUGAGGGAGAAAGCGGGGGACCGUAAGGCCUCGCGCGAUUGGAGCGGCCGAUGGCGGAUUAGCUAGUUGGUGGGGUAAAGGCCUACCAAGGCGACGAUCCGUAGCGGGUCUGAGAGGACGGCCCGCCACACUGGAACUGAGACACGGUCCAGACUCCUACGGGAGGCAGCAGUGGAGAAUUUUGGACAAUGGGCGAAAGCCUGAUCCAGCCAUUCCGCGUGAGUGAAGAAGGCCUUCGGGCUGUAAAGCACUUUCGGCAGGGAGGAAACGGCUUGGGAUAAUACCCCGGGCUAAUGACGGUACCUGAAGAAGAAGCACCGGCUAACUACGUGCCAGCAGCCGCCGUAA